UAGGGAAUCUUCGGCAAUGGGGGCAACCCUGACCGAGCAACGCCGCGUGAGUGAAGAAGGUUUUCGGAUCGUAAAGCUCUGUUGUAAGAGAAGAACGAGUGUGAGAGUGGAAAGUUCACACUGUGACGGUAACUUACCAGAAAGGGACGGCUAACUACGUGCCAGCAGCCGCGGUAAUACGUAGGUCCCGAGCGUUAUCCGGAUUUAUUGGGCGUAAAGCGAGCGCAGGCGGUUAGAUAAGUCUGAAGUUAAAGGCUGUGGCUUAACCAUAGUACGCUUUGGAAACUGUUUAACUUGAGUGCAGAAGGGGAGAGUGGAAUUCCAUGUGUAGCGGUGAAAUGCGUAGAUAUAUGGAGGAACACCGGUGGCGAAAGCGGCUCUCUGGUCUGUAACUGACGCUGAGGCUCGAAAGCGUGGGGAGCAAACAGGAUUAGAUACCCUGGUAGUCCACGCCGUAAACGAUGAGUGCUAGGCGUUGGGUCCUUUCCGGGACUCAGUGCCGCAGCUAACGCAUUAAGCACUCCGCCUGGGGAGUACGACCGCAAGGUUG
This 550-nucleotide ribosomal RNA is filed under the name uncultured bacterium. RNAcentral describes it as "bacterial SSU rRNA". It matches the Rfam family "Bacterial small subunit ribosomal RNA", at positions 355 to 896 of the family's 1533-position model. The record is from RNAcentral.